Molecule: long non-coding RNA, 1234 nt
Filed under: Equus caballus (horse)
Lineage: Eukaryota; Metazoa; Chordata; Mammalia; Perissodactyla; Equidae
Description: lncRNA (ENSECAG00000055809.1)
Source: RNAcentral
CUCAAGAGGAACGCAGCCUCGUGGCACCUGGGUUGUAGCCCAGGGAGACCCAUGUCAGAUUUCUAACCUACACAACACUAAGAUAAUAAAUGGUGAUGUUUUAAGCCGCUAAGCUCGUGGCGAUUUGUUACAGCAGCCACAGGAAACUAAUAUCUUAGAGCGACGUUCCCCACACAGGACAAGAGCCCCGCUUGCUCAGAAAGAGGCACCUCCUCCUGCUGGGGGCUGGAGGGUGUGGCGGUCAAGCCAUGGCCGGGAAGGCAGCCCACACCUGGGUGUGAAUCCUGGCCCUCUCAGCAUGGCCCAGGGUGUGCUGCCAGUUUGAGGACACAGGUGUGAGGCCCACACAGCUGCCUGCUACUACUGACCCCAUGUCCACCCUGGUGGCUGUGGGGCCCCGGGGGGUCUGAAUAAAGGCUGGUCCCCACACCUCUAAUCCUCCAAACAACAUUGCAAGGUGUCCUGUUAUCCCCAUUUCACAGCAGAAGAAACUGAGGCUCAGAGAAGGGGAGGAAUCUGUAACAGCCUAUCCCAUCCAUCAUCCUGAGAGCUUUUCAAACUCUAGAUUCCUAAGCCCAGCUGCAGACCCUCUGAGUAAGGAUCUCCAGGAAUCAAAACCAAGCAGCUCUUCUCCAAGCUCCACAAGGGGUCCCAGUGCCCAGACAGGCUCAAGGACCACUGGAUAGUGUCGCUGUGAGCUGCCAGGGUAAAUCCUCAUUUCUGCAGAGUGAAAAAAGACACCUAACUGGCAUCUGCUCUGGCCCAGGCCCUGGGCUGCACCUUUUCUGACUACGAGCAGGUGCCAGGAGCCAGUCAGCUCCCCAGGCCAAGCGGUCAACAAGGAGGCCACUUAUACACGUGUCUCCGCCCUUCUGAGGAAGCCAGGACCCCUCAGCCUCCCAGGUCUCAUCCACUUCCACAGAGACCCACACGGCCCGAACUGCUCAUUUUACAGAGGAGGGACAGAGGGCCGCCUGCCACCAAUGACGGACAGAGGCAGGACUAGAACCCAGAUCUCCUUAGGCCGACUCACUGGUGGCACCAUUUCCCAUGCAAGGCCCAACCCCGAGCAGGUGUUAAGCAGAGAAUGCUGCCUGGCUCCUGGUGCCCCUCAAACUGUGCCCAAUAAGACACCCCGAAAAGCACCCAGAUAUAAGAGGGGUGCCAUCCCAGGCUGGAGCGGACACCACUUCUCAUCUGUAAAUGAUUUCUGGAUCCCUUAUCCCUCAGGCAG